Molecule: small nucleolar RNA, 74 nt
Organism: Symphalangus syndactylus (siamang)
Lineage: Eukaryota; Metazoa; Chordata; Mammalia; Primates; Hylobatidae
Product: small nucleolar RNA SNORD56
Source: RefSeq, a predicted model, not a curated record
CUAUCAGGAUGACAAUAUUUUUUGUCAGCAGCAGCUUACCUAAUGAGUGUUGAUGCUUUCUUUGGGUCUGAUAA